Molecule: ribosomal RNA, 377 nt
Filed under: uncultured eukaryote
Lineage: Eukaryota
Description: partial 18S ribosomal RNA
Rfam family: Eukaryotic small subunit ribosomal RNA
Source: RNAcentral
CAAUAGCGUAUAUUAAAGUUGUUGCAGUUAAAAAGCUCGUAGUUGGAUUUCGGGGCAGCCUGGCUGGUCCGCCGCAAAGCGAGUACUGGUCAGCCGCCCUUCCUCUCGAAAGCCCCGACUGCUCUUCGUUGCAGUGGUCGGGUAGUUCGGGACGUUUACUUUGAAAAAAUUAGAGUGUUCAAGGCAGGCCUACGCCUGAAUACAUUAGCAUGGAAUAAUGGAAGAGGACCUCGGUCCUAUUUUGUUGGUUUCCAGGGCCGAAGUAAUGAUUAAGAGGGACAGUUGGGGGCAUUCGUAUUUAAUUGUCAGAGGUGAAAUUCUCGGAUUUAUGAAAGACGAACAACUGCGAAAGCAUUUGCCAAGGAUGUUUUCAUUAA